UCACGCAGGUGCUUAAAGGGACAUUGU
RNAcentral lists this non-coding RNA (27 nucleotides) under Homo sapiens (human). The record is from RNAcentral. Lineage: Eukaryota; Metazoa; Chordata; Mammalia; Primates; Hominidae.